CACUGCCGAGAAAAGCCUCUAGAUAGAAAAUAGGUGCCCGUACCGCAAACCGACACAGGUAGUCAAGAUGAGAAUUCUAAGGUGAGCGAGCGAACUCUCGUUAAGGAACUCGGCAAAAUGACCCCGUAACUUCGGGAGAAGGGGUGCUCUUUAGGGUUAACGCCCAGAAGAGCCGCAGUGAAUAGGCCCAAGCGACUGUUUAUCAAAAACACAGGUCUCUGCUAAACCGUAAGGUGAUGUAUAGGGGCUGACGCCUGCCCGGUGCUGGAAGGUUAAGAGGAGUGGUU
This 287-nucleotide ribosomal RNA is filed under the name Staphylococcus aureus. RNAcentral's name for it is "partial 23S ribosomal RNA". It matches the Rfam family "Bacterial large subunit ribosomal RNA", at positions 1603 to 1891 of the family's 2925-position model. The record is from RNAcentral. Lineage: Bacteria; Bacillati; Bacillota; Bacilli; Caryophanales; Staphylococcaceae.